UCGGCUGCUCUUCUUCAGUAACCAGCCAUGAUCCUCCAGGCGGCUGUGCUCAGCGUGUUCUUGUGCUUCGCCCACACUUUUGUUAUAGAGGCACCUUUUAAAAAAAGUGUUGAAAACUCCGGAAACAACACUGAGGGUGAUGAUUC
This is a long non-coding RNA of Maylandia zebra (zebra mbuna), 146 nucleotides long. RefSeq lists it as uncharacterized. The record is from RefSeq and is a predicted model, not a curated record. NCBI's taxonomy places the organism in Eukaryota, Metazoa, Chordata, Actinopteri, Cichliformes, Cichlidae.